CUGGAGGUAUCAGAAGUGCGAAUGCUGACAUAAGUAACGAUAAAGCGGGUGAAAAGCCCGCUCGCCGGAAGACCAAGGGUUCCUGUCCAACGUUAAUCGGGGCAGGGUGAGUCGACCCCUAAGGCGAGGCCGAAAGGCGUAGUCGAUGGGAAACAGGUUAAUAUUCCUGUACUUGGUGUUACUGCGAAGGGGGGACGGAGAAGGCUAUGUUGGCCGGGCGACGGUUGUCCCGGUUUAAGCGUGUAGGCUGGUUUUCCAGGCAAAUCCGGAAAAUCAAGGCUGAGGCGUGAUGACGAGGCACUACGGUGCUGAAGCAACAAAUGCCCUGCUUCCAGGAAAAGCCUCUAAGCAUCAGGUAACAUCAAAUCGUACCCCAAACCGACACAGGUGGUCAGGUAGAGAAUACCAAGGCGCUUGAGAGAACUCGGGUGAAGGAACUAGGCAAAAUGGUGCCGUAACUUCGGGAGAAGGCACGCUGAUAUGUAGGUGAAGCGACUUGCUCGUGGAGCUGAAAUCAGUCGAAGAUACCAGCUGGCUGCAACUGUUUAUUAAAAACACAGCACUGUGCAAACACGAAAGUGGACGUAUACGGUGUGACGCCUGCCCGGUGCCGGAAGGUUAAUUGAUGGGGUUAGCGGUAACGCGAAGCUCUUGAUCGAAGCCCCGGUAAACGGCGGCCGUAACUAUAACGGUCCUAAGGUAGCGAAAUUCCUUGUCGGGUAAGUUCCGACCUGCACGAAUGGCGUAAUGAUGGCCAGGCUGUCUCCACCCGAGACUCAGUGAAAUUGAACUCGCUGUGAAGAUGCAGUGUACCCGCGGCAAGACGGAAAGACCCCGUGAACCUUUACUAUAGCUUGACACUGAACAUUGAGCCUUGAUGUGUAGGAUAGGUGGGAGGCUUUGAAGUGUGGACGCCAGUCUGCAUGGAGCCGGCCUUGAAAUACCACCCUUUAAUGUUUGAUGUUCUAACGUUGGCCCCUGAUCGGGGUUGCGGACAGUGUCUGGUGGGUAGUUUGACUGGGGCGGUCUCCUCCUAAAGAGUAACGGAGGAGCACGAAGGUUGGCUAAUCCUGGUCGGACAUCAGGAGGUUAGUGCAAUGGCAUAAGCCAGCUUGACUGCGAGCGUGACGGCGCGAGCAGGUGCGAAAGCAGGUCAUAGUGAUCCGGUGGUUCUGAAUGGAAGGGCCAUCGCUCAACGGAUAAAAGGUACUCCGGGGAUAACAGGCUGAUACCGCCCAAGAGUUCAUAUCGACGGCGGUGUUUGGCACCUCGAUGUCGGCUCAUCACAUCCUGGGGCUGAAGUAGGUCCCAAGGGUAUGGCUGUUCGCCAUUUAAAGUGGUACGCGAGCUGGGUUUAGAACGUCGUGAGACAGUUCGGUCCCUAUCUGCCGUGGGCGCUGGAGAACUGAGGGGGGCUGCUCCUAGUACGAGAGGACCGGAGUGGACGCAUCACUGGUGUUCGGGUUGUCAUGCCAAUGGCACUGCCCGGUAGCUAAAUGCGGAAGAGAUAAGUGCUGAAAGCAUCUAAGCACGAAACUUGCCCCGAGAUGAGUUCUCCCUGAGACUUAGAGUCUCCUGAAGGAACGUUGAAGACGACGACGUUGAUAGGCCGGGUGUGUAAGCGCAGCGAUGCGUUGAGCUAACCGGUACUAAUGAACCGUGAGGCUUAACCUUACAACGCCGAAG
RNAcentral lists this ribosomal RNA (1686 nucleotides) under Escherichia coli. RNAcentral's name for it is "partial 23S ribosomal RNA". It matches the Rfam family "Bacterial large subunit ribosomal RNA", at positions 1273 to 2925 of the family's 2925-position model. The record is from RNAcentral. Lineage: Bacteria; Pseudomonadati; Pseudomonadota; Gammaproteobacteria; Enterobacterales; Enterobacteriaceae.